Bacillus rossius redtenbacheri is the source of this 4002-nucleotide RNA transcript. It is a transcript of the gene named adenylate cyclase type 7-like, with no coding region annotated. The record is from RefSeq and is a predicted model, not a curated record. The transcript is spliced from 4 exons. NCBI's taxonomy places the organism in Eukaryota, Metazoa, Arthropoda, Insecta, Phasmatodea, Bacillidae.
AACCAUUAAAUUAAAUUCACAUUAUUUUUAAUGUCCGCUUAGUUUGAAAGUAUUUAUAAUGUAACUGACCUGACCUAAUCGACCAUUUUAUUUAUUACGCAUUCACUAACGAUUUGAAAAGAGGAAGUGAAAGAGCAUAGAAUAAAAGUAUUUUCGGAUUGUUAGCAUUUUUUUCCGCAUGAAUACGCAGGUAUUGUGAUGAAAAUUAAAAAAUUCGAUUUCUCCGAAAGUAGUUGGAAUUUAUUAUCUCCGCCGGUUGAUUUGAAAAGAGGAAGUGAAAGAGCACAGAAUAAAGGUGUUUUCGGAUUUUUGGCAUCUAUCGCGACUGUACAUGUUUACCGAGAAGUGUUUAGGCUUCACCAGCACUUUUCAUUUUUGCAUACCUCAGUAAUUUUUUUAUCAAACCAUAUAUCUGCCAUGGAAGAUCCAAUCACUCAUUUUUAAUAAUAGUUUAAAUUUAGGUUAAUAUUUUUUGUGAUUUUAUUUGUUUUUAAAUAGUAAUUAAUUUAUUUUGAGUGCUAUCUUGAAUUAUUAUUCUGUUGUUUGUCUUGCUAGUGUCAUCUUUUAAAAUAACAUUUUAAUAUAUCAGUUUUGUUUCUUGUCUUGUCAUCCAAAACAUAUACUUUUUUGAAAUUUCUGUUUUGUAGGUUAUGUGUGUGUUAGUUCAUGUGGGGAUAUGGUGUGUUGUGUAUGUGUUGUGUGUCUUGUACAUCUUUCCACGCGACACAGCUAUUUCACAUGUUUUCCACACAUUACACCGUGUAGUUUCAUCUACCUAAUCAGUCUUCAAUUUCUUGCAAGUUUUUUGUUUUGAAUUUAGAUGUUCCUUUUGUUUUAAUUUUGUGUACUAGGUUGUUGCUGUAGGACAUCUCUCCUGUGGGGUGUCUGCUGCAUGGAGUUUGCUAGGGUGGUUGCGGCUUCGGCUCGGUAUUGCUGCGACUCACCGUUUCAGCCAUCUCUGCUGCUGUUCGAGCCCAGCUUCCUGCGCGUGAAGAAGAUCAAGAUGGCGGGCUGGACCUACAUGGCGGCCGCAUGUCGAUGGCCAGGGUCAACGUCUCGGAGCACGUAGUGGUCGUCAUGGCGCGAUUCUUCGUCAUGGCGCGGUUCGCCGCCAUGAUGAUGCGUGUCCUCCAAGAGAACAACCGCGAGAGCUUCCAGAACUUCAGGCUCCGAGUGGGUAUAUCCCACGGGGAGGUGACGGCGGGAGUGGUCGGCUCCCACAAGCCCCUGUACGACAUCUGGGGGGACGCCGUCAACAUGGCCUCGCGCAUGGACUCCACUGGGGAACCAGGUUGAAUACAGACUGCUUACAGGUGACAGAAGAAACAGCGGUAGUUUUGAGGGAUCAGCAAGUCAGUUGCCAGUGUCGCGGACUGACCUACGUCAAGAACAAAGGCAACAUGAUGACUUAUUUCGUGGACAUUGAUUCAAACUUCAAUUUGAUUGAAUCGAGAACACCAGUACACACUUUUCAUCAGUGCACCGAUGAAGAAAACACUAGGUUAUGACACUUGGACUUUCCUAAGCAGUAUUAGUGUCUUGUACAUAAGUGAUCCACUUUGAAGCUACUACAAAGUGUAACAAAGAUUUAGUGAUAUCAUUGUAAGAUUGACAUUUUAUAAAUACUUUUUUUUUCAAUAAAAUCAAAUAAAAAUGCAAGAAAGAAGCUAAUGCCCAGAAGUAUUCCGAAUCUUUUACCAAAAAGUGGGAAGAACCAUUUUCAUGUCAGAUUUUGUGAUUUUAUAUAAUAUUUAUAAAUAAAAUAUUAUUUUACUAUAAUCUUAAUUUUUUUCUGUUGUAUAUCUUAUACAUCUAUCCAUGCAGAUUAAAACUAUUUUUUGCACAGCCUACACAAAUUGAAUUAUUUUCAAAAUCCUAUUUAUUUUGGAAACUAUUAGAAAAUUAAAAAUAAUUGUGAAAAAUGUUCAAAACUUCUUGAAUAUUUUAGAUACUAAUGAAAACAUCCAAGUGUUUGAACUAGCCGUUCCAGAAAAGUCUCUAAUCUCAUUACUGUAAUUACAAAGAAUUACGUGCAUCCAGGGGUUUUUGCAGUGAUCUAGAUAUGUAGGCAUCUAUAGCAAAAAAAUUUGGUUUAUUGAGGUAUUUGUUGACAAGACAAGCCAAGGAAUAAGAAUACAUUAAUAACUACCAUAAUUUUACCUGUCCCCCUGGUCCAAGAAAUAUGGGGAGAACGAUAUUAAAACAAUCUGGUAGGUAGCCACAGAACUUAGAACCUGCAACAGAAGAAAUACAAGGAUAUCACAAGGGCGCUCGGGGUGUCUCACAAGAUUAACAUUUAAGCAAAAGGGGUCGUAAUGUAGCAUAGUGGUAUCAGGUUAGCCUACACAUCAAUCCAUUUCUGUUGCAAGGAUUUGAUUUCCAUAUACGUUCUACAGAACAGUUCAAGGGCUGAAAAAUGUUACUUUGCCAACAGUUUAAUCCAAUUAAGUUGGUAACAAUUUUCCAUUCUCCCUGACCUAAAUGCAUGAUUUAUCUCGUCAAACAAAGGCAUAAUUAAAAUUUAUUUAUUCAGUAAGCAAAUCUGUAAGAUAAAAAUAAUUUUAAGACUCAGAUAAUACAGUCUAGUUGUUUGACAACUUUCCCAUUGUACUGACCCGAAUAAAAGUCGGCUCGGUACAAAUCGAUGUAUGGCUUUACAGUUUAAAAUUUGGGAAAAAAAAUUAUUAAAUUUAAAAAAAAAAACUUGCUUACAGAAUUUUUUUUAGAUACGCUUAUUUAUGCAUUCCUUCAAUGGCCAUUCAUUAUGAAACUUUGAGUUAGCUGUAUAAUUUUCAAAACUGUGUCUGCAUAUUACAGUAUUUACACAAUAAUCCACAAAGAAUUUUUCUUAAAAUGUGUGUUGAGAAAGCAUGGUGCGCUGCAAUGCUGCGUAGCACAAGUUCCUUAGAACUCCAAUGUUGGUUAACCUGCUGUUGCUUAAUGGACAAUAAUCAUCUUGCAUGUGGUUUGAAAGUGCAUUUUUUUUUGUGAAAAGGACGUUGCAGUGAUUACUGAAGGUCUGCAGAUUGCAAUUAUCUAUUGUUACACUCCUCAGUCUCUCUUGAUGAUUGGGGUUACUAGUGGAUCUUUGGUUUCAGAAGGCAAAAUAAUGAUUUAGUCUAGACGUUAGUACCUCUGUUUUUAUUUUACUUUUGAUUAUUUUCACAUUAUAUUAUAUAAGUGGAUUAACAAAAAAACAUAUACAACAUAGAUUUAAAAUCACAUUAUUAAAGGAAUGGGCCAUCCCUUAUUAGACAAUUAAAUUAAUCUUUAACAUAAUUUAAAUAAAAUUCAUAACAAUAAAAUGAGUCGCAGUCCCAGGAUCUUUUAAGUCCUAAUGAAAAAUUGCUGGUUGUCUGAUCUGUUAAACGUCGUGAUUCCAUGCUAGUCCAAAAAGGUUUUUAAAAACUGAAGGACUGGCGGUUUGAAGGUUGCUGGAUGAAGUGAAACAGCUGACUGGGCGUCAGAGGGCCUUAGUCAUCCGGCCGUGGAGACUGAUCUGGACCUUGGAAUGUUCCCGGUUCUUGUAAACUGGUCCAGUGCUUGUACCCUGGUCCGGUACUUGUACCCUGUCUGUGAACAGAUCCGAAACACAUAUGUUCAGGACUGAUUCACAGACAGUUGGUGAAAUAGGCAGAAAAUGCCUUCUAGUCACGAUGAUGGUCGGGGAGUAAAAGUAGUAAAAACUCACAAAACAGGGUGAUGAGCACACGGACCCGUCUCGGGCAUUUCAUGAUUUAAAAAAUUAAUUAUUUAUGAGUUUAUGACUAUAUGAUAACAUGACUACUCGAACUAGAUCCACACGGACUGACUAACGCCAAAACACUACCGUUGUGGGAAUCAUCCGUGGUCUAGUUGAUCACAUCUUAAAAGAAAAACGGAGAGGCGUCCUGAUGAUGUAGAUGUGAAGUAGUCAGUCCCGAAUUGCGGCGCGCUGUAAGUUUGGGGCGGCAGAGACUCGUAAUUAAAAGGCGAAGUUAAAGAAAGAAAGAAAGAAAGAAA